AAAGUUUUCAAAACAAACGUUGCUCCUCCGUACGGGUCGUUGCAUCUGUGCUAUCAUCAACUGCUUCUUACAUUCCCUCGCGCAAAAUAAUCGCCCUUUGGCAUACGCCUAAAAUGACAAAUUGCAAGCUGUGCUCAACCUAUUAAUGGCCCGUUUGGCCUUGCUAUUGUUGAUACGUCGUCUAGGCGUGCUUAUCUCCUCGGUUCUGGUCCAACCGGUGAGCUGCAAGAUGAUGUGCACGACGUCAACUACAUGCACGAGGCCUACAAAACCCGCGUUCAAAACCCCGAGUAACCACAUUGUCUUCUGCUUUUACGUAAGUGACAAAUGGCACUCGACGAGGCUCCGUGCCAUUUUACCAGGAGAAGUUAUCGGCCAUGGUAACAACUCAGAAAGGACUUUUCCGACGCGCCUCAACGGCAGAUCUCAUAGUUUCAUCCCAAAUAGCUGCUACCAUAUUAUAUUCCGCAACACAACAACCCAAACGACCCAUCCAACAGAAGUUCAACCCCGUCAGCGAUGGCGCCAGAUUAGCCCCAAAAGCCCUAAUGUAAGUCCCCUUCAUCACCCUUCAAUCAGCCUCAAUCACCUUGACGUGCUUGUGCAUGCGCGCUUGUAUGUCCUUGGUGCAGGCUUUUUGCUUUGGCUCCUGAUGAAGGAAUGAACGACCUAGGUCUAAGAAAUCGAUACCCUACUGGAACGAACUCAAACUGGAGGAGAGCUGGUGUAAGAGAGGGGUCUGUUUUCGGUACGGACCAAACCAAAGUGACUCCGCAGCACCCCGCUUUCCCCCCGCUCUAAGUGGAUACACGCUAUGCGAAUAGGACAUGAGUGAUGUGCCCUUGGUGGGCCGUUCCGCCUAGCCGGUUUUGCUGAUUUAUCGUGGUGGAAAUUGCCCAAGAAGGGCUGGGAAGGAGACUGGUGCUUUUGUCGCACGGUGGCACUUCAGGUGGAGACUACGUGUUAUCGUUCGUGGAGAUGAAAAAGAGAUAAAAAAGCGAGGUAACGACUCCCCUUUAGGGGAAGAAGGGGAACACCCCUUCAGAACUGCGUAUGACCGAUAGGACCGCCUGUCAUAAUUUAGGCGAAGGUGGAAUGCUUGCUGCGCGUCUUGCUGCCAAGCCUUACAAUCGAUGGACGCUAACAUGUUUUGUUGCUUUAACGAUACUGUCAUCAGCUAAAUGAUCGACAUCGCGGUAGCACAACAAUAUGUUGGCAUUACCGGGGGGGAAUUGUUUUCAACCAGCAUGUUUUGGAGGUUGUUCAAACCCUAAGCCCCCUUAACACCUUCAAAACUUCGAAAAGCCUGGUCACGCAUCUUUCCAAGAGCAAGCCAGCAGGUCCACCCCAGGAUUGCCUUUUGUACGCUCUUACUUUUUAUAGUUAUACUCUAGCUCUACAUAAUCUCAAAUAUUUCAAAACCAAAUAAUAUAACAUUAAGUGCAUUUAGACCAUAAGAAGAUAGUAAGAAUAUUAAAAUAUAUAAUUAUCAUUAUUAGUAGGUAUUAUUAUUAUAAUUAGUUCUUAAGUAAUUAUUAUUUAUUUUAUAAUUAUAACUAUAUUUUUUGAGGGGAGAGAUCAAAGGUGUUUUCUCCUCUUUUCUCUUCUUCAAAAAAGAUACGGUCUAAUGGUUCUGGGUAUCCUAAAAUUUACCAAUCAUAAAUCAUAAAUUUUUUAAAACAUAUUCACCUUUUAUGCCUAUUUGUCCCUUCUUAAAAAAUAUUUUACUAAUAAAUGAGCUUGCUACAGAUAUUCAUAAAAAGACAUUCGAUAUGUUCGUUUCUAAGUGCCUGCGUAUCAUCGUGUCUAUGUGCGGCCCUUACAUACCCGCCAGGUGGUUAUCGUUGGCCAUGUACCCCAUUCUUCUGGAUCCACUUGGCGGCAAUAACGCCUCCACCGUGAAGGGAGGCUGGGACGCGUCUGACAGUACAUUCUUCAAGUCUGCGGCUGCUUCAAGCGUCACCAGGGCAUUGUGCAGCCCGAGUGGAAGUGGUUUACAUACGGGGUGGAAAAGUGCGCCGAGCGCGGUCCGCAACGGUCAAAACUUUCUACCAACAGAUGUGUUAAUACUUAAACUGUAUUCGAAACGUAUAGAGAUGGCCAUACCGAAACCGGUAGCAGCAGCGCCCAUGUCCAGCCACAUCACAUUUCCGUCUGGUCUGGGUAGACACUACUGCAAUAAGCGGUUUUAAGGUCCUGGGUUCAAUUCCUGGGGAGACCCCAGGAUUAGACGGGAGCGCGAGAUUAUGCCUAGCUGCUGAGAUGUGGAGUUGGGGUCACAGUUGAUGGACCAGAUUCGCACGCUGGAUUGGUGGCGAUUGUCGAACCCUCCGUCUCUUCGGAUGUUCGGGUGAAUGGAUGAGGAGGGGUCCCUGAAGGCUGGAUCCGCCGCCUUGGACUUACAAUUCGUAUGGCGAAGACAGUGUGGUAGUGGUGGAUGGUGCUAUAAGGUGAUAAAUCGUAGAACUGACAAUGUGAUAAAGCGGCCCAGAAGCCUCCCACUCUGUAACAUUACAAAUUACAUUACAAUAGCCCACUUCACGUCUAUGUGUGGGAUGCGCCAGAAAGAAUCAGACCAAAUAUCUUAGUAGUAUUCAUGUGGAACAUAAGGCGGGAACUUUUGAGUUCUAUGCGGAGGCUCUGAUGUGACCAAAGGGGUGCUAAUCCACACGUGGUCAGUAUGGUGCCGACUCGCUCGUUCCUCUGGUCACGUGGAUGUUUGAGCUAGAUGUUGACGCAUCUAGAUAAGUAAUGUGUAAAACUUUUGUCACUUCGAUAUGCGAGAAAACUGGCAGGAGUCUGAGCCUGCCGCCUAAUAACUCGUUUUUCGUUUCACUUGCCACAUUCGCAGCAACGGACCAGAGAUGCAGCGUAAGACAUAAAAUGGCAGACAAGUUAUAUGAAUCUAAGAUAUUUAAGCAGCCCCUCGCACAAAUGUGUCCGGUCGUACUUCGCGAAUAAACAGUUCGUACAUCGUCCCAAAAG
This 2985-nucleotide long non-coding RNA is filed under the name Volvox carteri. RNAcentral describes it as "long non-coding RNA (VCAR_LNC001814)". The record is from RNAcentral. Lineage: Eukaryota; Viridiplantae; Chlorophyta; Chlorophyceae; Chlamydomonadales; Volvocaceae.